CUCUAAGUUUUUUGCGGGUUAAACGGCUCGGUACUUGGGUAUUUGCUGGGUGGGUGGCGUCCAUCCAAGUGAUGUCUGCACCCCUCCUCCCGGCAUUUUUCUGGGGAGGGUACCUGUGCUUCACUGCCCAGUAUCUGAUCCAGAGCGAUUACUUUGAGAAAACAAGAGUGUUCCAGGCGGGCGUCAUCCAGAAUACAUUAGCAUGGAAUAAUAGCAUAGGACUUCAUUCCUGAGCUUUUUGGUUUAACGGAAUGGAGGAACGCAAAUAGGGAUAGUUGGGGGCAUUCGUAUUUAACUGUCAGAGGUGAAAUUCUUGGAUUUUUUAAAGACCAACUAUUGCGAAAGCAUCUGCCCAGGAUGUUUUUAUUAAUCAAGAACGAAAGCUAGGGGAUCGAAGACGAUCAGAUACCGUCCUAGUCUUAACCAUAAACUAUGCCGACUAGUCUUUGUGACUGUCAUACCUGACGCUUCCUGCAACUUGAGAGAAAUCAAAGUCUUCGGGUUCCGGGGGGAGUAGGUCGCAAGGCCGAACCUUAAAGGAUUGACCGGAGGGCACCACCAGGGGUGGAGCCUGGGGGUUAACUGGGCUCAACACGGGGAAACCCACCCGGUCCCGACCUAGGGAGGCUUUGAGACUGAUAACUGUCUCUUGUUCGGAAGGCGGGGUGCGUGGGCG
Molecule: ribosomal RNA, 676 nt
Filed under: uncultured eukaryote
Lineage: Eukaryota
Description: bacterial SSU rRNA
Rfam family: Eukaryotic small subunit ribosomal RNA
Source: RNAcentral